GAUAUGUACAGCCGGACAUCGUACAUCUUCUCAUUGGUGACGCUCGCGGUCGUCAUGGUGCUGCUGCUGCGGUUCGUCCGUUCUCCGUUCGGCCUGCUGUGCCGCGNAGGACGACUCCCUGCGCGCGCUGAUGAUCGGAGCCUCGGCCUAUCCGCGGCUCGUGAUGAUGUAUGGCGUCUCGGGAAUCGUUGCGGGUCUUGGCGGCGCGCUGAUGGCGAUCAACACCGGCGUGGUCGGGCUCGACAGCGUG
RNAcentral lists this unclassified non-coding RNA (250 nucleotides) under Hevea brasiliensis (rubber tree). Lineage: Eukaryota; Viridiplantae; Streptophyta; Magnoliopsida; Malpighiales; Euphorbiaceae. The record is from RNAcentral.